Molecule: ribosomal RNA, 647 nt
Filed under: Acinetobacter johnsonii
Lineage: Bacteria; Pseudomonadati; Pseudomonadota; Gammaproteobacteria; Moraxellales; Moraxellaceae
Description: bacterial SSU rRNA
Rfam family: Bacterial small subunit ribosomal RNA
Source: RNAcentral
GCUAAUAGAUGAGCCUAAGUCAGAUUAGCUAGUUGGUGGGGUAAAGGCCUACCAAGGCGACGAUCUGUAGCGGGUCUGAGAGGAUGAUCCGCCACACUGGGACUGAGACACGGCCCAGACUCCUACGGGAGGCAGCAGUGGGGAAUAUUGGACAAUGGGCGAAAGCCUGAUCCAGCCAUGCCGCGUGUGUGAAGAAGGCCUUUUGGUUGUAAAGCACUUUAAGCGAGGAGGAGGCUACCGAGAUUAAUACUCUUGGAUAGUGGACGUUACUCGCAGAAUAAGCACCGGCUAACUCUGUGCCAGCAGCCGCGGUAAUACAGAGGGUGCGAGCGUUAAUCGGAUUUACUGGGCGUAAAGCGUGCGUAGGCGGCUUUUUAAGUCGGAUGUGAAAUCCCUGAGCUUAACUUAGGAAUUGCAUUCGAUACUGGGAAGCUAGAGUAUGGGAGAGGAUGGUAGAAUUCCAGGUGUAGCGGUGAAAUGCGUAGAGAUCUGGAGGAAUACCGAUGGCGAAGGCAGCCAUCUGGCCUAAUACUGACGCUGAGGUACGAAAGCAUGGGGAGCAAACAGGAUUAGAUACCCUGGUAGUCCAUGCCGUAAACGAUGUCUACUAGCCGUUGGGGCCUUUGAGGCUUUAGUGGCGCAGCUAA